AAAGGAAUUAGGCAAAUUUCACCCGUACGUUCGCAAUAAGGGGGGCCUCUGGUGGUGAGCUUAAUCGCAAAGCUGCUGGAGGCCGCAGAGAAAUGGCUCUUCCAACUGUUUAACAAAAACACAGGUCUCUGCUAAGUCGAAAGACGAAGUAUAGGGGCUGACGCCUGCCCAGUGCUGGAAGGUUAAGGGGAGAGGUUAGGCGCAAGCCGAAGCUUUGAGCCGAAGCCCCAGUGAACGGCGGCCGUAACAAUAACGGUCCUAAGGUAGCGAAAUUCCUUGUCGGGUAAGGUCCGACCCGCACGAAUGGCGUGAUGAGAGGAGCACUGUCUCAACGAGGGACUCGGCGAACAUUGAAGGACGUGUGAAGAUACACGUGACCCGCAGCGGGACAAAAAGACCCCGUGAAGCUUUACUACAACUUGCCAUUGAGUUAGGGCUAAACCUGUGUAGUAUAGGUGGGAGGCUUUGAAGCUGGGACGCCAGUCUCGGUGGAGCCACCGUUGAAAUACCACCCUGGUUUAUUCUUGGCUCUAACCUGUCGCCGUUAUCCGGCAUGGGAACAGUGGCUGGUGGGUAGUUUGACUGGGGCGGUCGCCUCCGAAAGCGUAACAGAGGCGCCCAAAGGUUCCCUCAGGCUGAAUGGAAACCAGCCGUUGAGUGUAAAGGCACAAGGGGGCUUGACUGCAAGACCAACAAGUCGCGCAGGGACGAAAGUCGGGCUUAGUGAUCCCACGGUUCAGAGUGGAAUGGCCGUGGCUUACCGGAUAAAAGCUACUCCGGGGAUAACAGGGUAGUCUGGUCCAAGAGUUCAUAUCGACGACCAGGUUCGCCACCUCGAUGUCGGCUCAUCACAUCCUGGGGCUGGAUAAGGUCCCAAGGGUUGGGCUGUUCGCCCAUUAAAGUGGUACGUGAGCUGGGUUCAGACCGUCGUGAGACAGGUCGGUCUCUAUCCGCUGUGGGCGUAAGGGAUUUGAGAGAAGCUGCCCCUAGUACGAGAGGACCGGGGUGGACGGACCUCUAGUGUGCCAGUUGUUCUGCCAAGAGCAUUGCUGGGUAGCCACGUCCGGCAGAGAUAACCGCUGAAAGCAUCUAAGUGGGAAACUCGUCUCAAGAUUAGAUCCCUCAUCCGUAUGGAGUAAGACCGCUAGAAGACUACUAGUUUGAUAGGCGGCAGGUGUAAGCGCAGUAAUGUGUUCAGCUUAGCCGUACUAAUGGUCGAGGGCUUACGUU
Molecule: ribosomal RNA, 1230 nt
Filed under: metagenome
Description: bacterial LSU rRNA
Rfam family: Bacterial large subunit ribosomal RNA
Source: RNAcentral